RNAcentral lists this non-coding RNA (31 nucleotides) under Homo sapiens (human). Lineage: Eukaryota; Metazoa; Chordata; Mammalia; Primates; Hominidae. The record is from RNAcentral.
GCCAGAGUCCCGGAGGCCAUUGUUUAUUCGU